This 65-nucleotide transfer RNA is filed under the name Sphenomorphus melanopogon. RNAcentral's name for it is "tRNA-Ser". The record is from RNAcentral. Lineage: Eukaryota; Metazoa; Chordata; Lepidosauria; Squamata; Scincidae.
CCGAGGGGUGUGCGUACACAAAGAACUGCUAAUUCCUUUCCCCAAAGUUAAACUCUUUGGACCCC